CGGGGUGAGUAAUGUCUGGAAAACUGCCUGAUGGAGGGGGAUAACUACUGGAAACGGUAGCUAAUACCGCAUAAUGUCGCAAGACCAAAGUGGGGGACCUUCGGGCCUCUUGCCAUCGGAUGUGCCCAGAUGGGAUUAGCUAGUAGGUGGGGUAACGGCUCACCUAGGCGACGAUCCCUAGCUGGUCUGAGAGGAUGACCAGCCACACUGGAACUGAGACACGGUCCAG
Molecule: ribosomal RNA, 229 nt
Filed under: uncultured bacterium
Lineage: Bacteria
Description: partial 16S ribosomal RNA
Rfam family: Bacterial small subunit ribosomal RNA
Source: RNAcentral